RNAcentral lists this transfer RNA (75 nucleotides) under Agrobacterium salinitolerans. RNAcentral's name for it is "tRNA-Lys". It matches the Rfam family "tRNA". From Rfam's summary of the family: Transfer RNA (tRNA) molecules are approximately 80 nucleotides in length. Their secondary structure includes four short double-helical elements and three loops (D, anti-codon, and T loops). Further hydrogen bonds mediate the characteristic L-shaped molecular structure. tRNAs have two regions of fundamental functional importance: the anti-codon, which is responsible for specific mRNA codon recognition, and the 3' end, to which the tRNAs corresponding amino acid is attached (by aminoacyl-tRNA synthetases). tRNAs cope with the degeneracy of the genetic code in two manners: having more than one tRNA (with a specific anti-codon) for a particular amino acid; and 'wobble' base-pairing, i.e. permitting non-standard base-pairing at the 3rd anti-codon position. Lineage: Bacteria; Pseudomonadati; Pseudomonadota; Alphaproteobacteria; Hyphomicrobiales; Rhizobiaceae. The record is from RNAcentral.
GGGUGAUUAGCUCAGAGGCAGAGCAGCCGACUCUUAAUCGGCGGCGCGUCGGUUCGAUCCCGACAUCACCCACCA